AAGAGGGAAUCAUAGGGAGGAGCAGUUGGAUCAUUGUCAGCAGUCUUCAGGUUCUGUGGAGAUAAAACCAAGUGGAAGUAUAAAUCAGCAGAACUCGUGCUUAACACUUCUAUUUGGAGGAGGACAGGUCAGCUGGUAAUGGCAGAAGUCUGGCUCAAAACAGGCAUAAUGGCAGCAAGUUUAAACAUCACUCAAGAACCUAUGCUCAGCACAAGGAUAUGGGUAUCAUUGGCAAGGUCAAUGUUUAUUGCCAUCCCUAACUGCCCUAGAGAAGAUGUUGAUGAUGUUUGACUGUUGUUCAAAUUGUAUCCAUCCAGACAAGUGGAGGAUCAAACUUUCAACCAGUACCGAGAUGAUGGAACCACAAGAUCCCACUACCGAUGUCACCACAGUUUUCAUGAUUGGUCCAGUUAAAUUUCUGGUAAUUGCAACCCCUAGGGACUUUGCUGGCAAAUUACGGCAAUGUCAUGAGAGGUCCUGAAAGUUUCUCUUUAUAUUUCAUUGCCUUGCACAUUUGUGACAGGAAUGUUACUUGCAAGUUUGCAGCCCACAUCCAAAUGUUGUCUAGUUCUUGCUGCAUGCAGAGUGAACUGAUCCAUUUUUAAAAAAUUUGAUGUGCUACAAAAAGAACUGAACAUUGUUCGGCAGAGAAACAUAAGCGAACAUUCCCACAUGUGCUCUUGUUAUGGAAACAGCUCAUAAUGACUGAUCCCAGGACACGGAGGAAC
Pristis pectinata (smalltooth sawfish) is the source of this 728-nucleotide long non-coding RNA. RefSeq lists it as uncharacterized. The transcript has 4 exons. The record is from RefSeq and is a predicted model, not a curated record. Lineage: Eukaryota; Metazoa; Chordata; Chondrichthyes; Rhinopristiformes; Pristidae.